GCGUCGUCGGUGUAGUGGCAACACACAAUCUGAGUUUAACGGAAGAGGACCAGCAUUGAGAUUGAGUCCUGGGUUCGAAUCCCGGACGGCGCA
Mycena epipterygia is the source of this 93-nucleotide non-coding RNA. Lineage: Eukaryota; Fungi; Basidiomycota; Agaricomycetes; Agaricales; Mycenaceae. The record is from the annotation of a GenBank genome assembly.